RNAcentral lists this ribosomal RNA (484 nucleotides) under uncultured bacterium. RNAcentral's name for it is "partial 16S ribosomal RNA". It matches the Rfam family "Bacterial small subunit ribosomal RNA", at positions 30 to 507 of the family's 1533-position model. The record is from RNAcentral.
AUUGAACGCUGGCGGCAGGCCUAACACAUGCAAGUCGAGCGGAUGAAGGGAGCUUGCUCCUGGAUUCAGCGGCGGACGGGUGAGUAAUGCCUAGGAAUCUGCCUGGUAGUGGGGGAUAACGUCCGGAAACGGGCGCUAAUACCGCAUACGUCCUGAGGGAGAAAGUGGGGGAUCUUCGGACCUCACGCUAUCAGAUGAGCCUAGGUCGGAUUAGCUAGUUGGUGGGGUAAAGGCCUACCAAGGCGACGAUCCGUAACUGGUCUGAGAGGAUGAUCAGUCACACUGGAACUGAGACAAGGUCCAGGCUCCUACGGGAGGCAGCAGUGGGGAAUAUUGGACAAUGGGCGAAAGCCUGAUCCAGCCAUGCCGCGUGUGUGAAGAAGGUCUUCGGAUUGUAAAGCACUUUAAGUUGGGAGGAAGGGCAGUAAGUUAAUACCUUGCUGUUUUGACGUUACCAACAGAAUAAGCACCGGCUAACUUCGUG